AUUUUAUUUGCUCUUUCUUAUUGAUGUUGGUCCCAAAAUGUGGACAUAACUACCCCCACUGACUGGGAUGUUUAGUGUCAUCAUUUAAGUCAGAUUUUGAUUCAUUUUUUUCACCAUAUACUGUAUUUUAGUUUUCCCAAAAGCCAAAAAUGUAAAAAAAAAAUCAAUUUAUUCCGCUAAGUAGAUGAUUGACCCACAGCUCAAUCAAUGGCUGUUUAAUAUAAGUGGUGUGUCUUAUGAACACUGAUGAAUGACUCUUUAAAAUCACUUAUCAAACAUGGAAUUCCCCUGGCAGCCCGACCUGCUUUGCGUAAAAAACAAGGGGAGAUUAUUUCAAAUAGGCACAGCAUGCUUUUUUUAUAUUACAUGCUUACAUUGUUAUUAUGAGUGAGAUAUCUUGAAAAUGUUCACGUUUCCUGCGUUUUUUUUAUUUUUUUAUACCGUUUAACACCGCAUCUAGCAAUGUGGCCCCAUGUGUAAAUCACAUGUGUGGCUCUGCGGCUCUGCGGCAGGCUCCCUCUAACAGCUUAUUGACUGGCUCCCAGUGGAAGAAAGCACCUCCUUUUGGCUGCAGAGAGACUCCAGCGGUUGUCGCCAAAGAGGAGGACAGGGCCGGGAGGCAUUUAUGAGACAUCAUGUCACACACACACACACUAGAAAUAGCAGCCUUUACGCACGGAAUUUACGCACAACGCAUGGGAUGUAUUCCGAUUGUGUGGUAAUAAUAAAUAAUCUAUUGGAGUCCUUGAUUAAUUUUAUUCAUUCUAAUUAGGAUACUGCACUAUAAAUUUUGGUCUCAAAUAUUAAAACAGAAACGAAAUCUUCAAACAUGGCGCUACCCCGGCAUGGGCCCCCAUUUCCCCCCCUACCUUGAUGUAAUGCACGAUAUUAUUAUGUGUGACAGCACAGUGGUCGCUAUGAAGAAGAGAGGAUUUGCUCGCUGUAGAUGACAGACAGGAAGGGCAGCAAUCAUGCAGCCCCCCCACCCUUUUUUUUGUCAGAAUGUACUGUUCGAAGCCGUUUAUCCCUGAUGAUAGAAAAUUGCUCUGUUGCCAGGACGCUGCCACUGAAAUAGAGGGCAGAAGCAACAUUUCCAUUUUCCCGUUCGAAAGCCAUUGAAAUGAAUUAGCGCGAAAUGGGGGGUGGCGGUGGAGGAAGGGAUGAAAAAGAAUCCCCUGGUAAACAAAGGGGGAGAAAACACAGAUACCAUUUUUUAAUCCCCUUAUUUAUUUGUUUGUAAUUAUUAUUACAGCGGUGGUUGCAAACGACAUGCUUGGCCUCUAAUGCUGUUUAAGGCCCAUAUGCAGGCCUGCUUCACUCGCACUCAUCACCCCCACCUGGAUAAUUACAGCUCCUUUUCAUCAUCCAUACACUAAAAAUGGAAUUAAUAAAGAGAUACUUAACCAGGAGCUGGAAGAAGUGCUUAUUUUUCGCAACAAAUAAUUGCAAACAUGAAUACCAGUGUAUAGGAAAACGGAAUAAAUAUUAUUUUACUCGUGGAAUUCGUUAAAAUAUAUUUAAUUCGCAAUAUUUCAAUGCAUUUAUUAAAAACGUUCCUAUUUAUGCACUUUUUUCGUUGAUAUUUCAUGUAACAGUUUAAUUUGGUGUAAACUGAUUGGUCAUGCCUGGAGAGUGGGCGCACGGAUGACGUCAAUAAAAUGCGACUGUGGUAUAGAAGUUGGCGGUUUUUUUGUUGUUGUGAUCAAUAAACGGAGCCUCUACUCGGUCCUCUCAAGUUCCUGGGUUUUUGUCCCAAAAAGCGACUCUAUUAUCGACAAAUAAUGAAAAAAAAAACGGAAGUAGUGGAUUAAAAUAGUGUUGGAGGCACCAAUUUACAGCAGGGAGAAAGUACCGCUCAACUGCAUGCACACUAAAAAGAGGAUUUACCAGCCCGAUGUGAAGUGAGGCGGAAAAGCAGCACAGUGAAAAAGGAAGUCACACCUGUUGAAAACACAGCAUGCUCAAGUUCUCAUGGCAGGUAUGCCUCCGUUCCCCUCUUGGCAGCUCCACCACCCUCCAUCUCCCUCCCCUUUGGUUGGCUUCCACAGCUGUGGUGAGUGAGGGGCAGAUGACCGGAGAUUUGGCCCCUGGGAGAGCGCUGAGCCAUCCUGGUGCUAUUAGACUGGUGGCUAAUAAUAGGUGUUUCAGACUCGGGGAAGAUCAAUCAGGGGGGGGAAUCAUGGGGAAUGUUCAGGCCAGCGCUUUUUACACAUCGGCCCAGAUGGAUGAAAUUACACUUGUCAGUUUUUAGUUGCAUUACUCCCAAAUUGGUUGUCUACUCCCCCCCCCCCCCCAUGCUUCAUUCCUGCUCUUGUUUUUUCUCCCUCUAUUUUUUUUUACCCUGGUUCAUGUGUCAAUGGCCUGCUAAAAGGAUUCAGCGGUGAAAUCCCUGUCAUUUUGUUUUGCGGCCCUCCAGGAAAAGCCAGAUUCACGAAAAAGACGUCCCUUUCUUGUCUUGGCUGGAGGAUUUUCCAUGUUAAGGCAAGCGCGUGAUUGUGUAAAUGUGCCUUUGACAUUUUGUGUGAGGAAUUUAACAUUUAACACAAUAUGUUUAUCACCUGGAUGCAAAAUCUUCCAGGACAAAACUGCUGCAUGUGUUUUGGAUUGGGAUGUUUUUUUUCCCCCCAACAUUAUAUGGACUCUUAAUCUGAUUGUUUUCUGAUAUAUCUGCAUGUACAUUGUAUUAUACCCUUUAAAAGACAAUAAACUCCUUCACAAAAUACCCUUUUCUUAAUUAUUUUUUUACUACAUCAUGAUUUUUCAAAUUUUUGAACUUUCAAAAAGGUGCAAAAUAAUGUAUUUAUUUCCAACGAUGUGUCCACUGUAGCUUAUAUGGCAACUAGAACAGGCAACUGCAUGCAUAACACAAACAUGAACAUAAAUACAGACCAUAUUUCACAUAAACUACUUGGAAUCUUGGUUCCAUUAUUUGCCAGUUGCCUUCGCAUAACUCAUUAAAAAGGGGUAAAAAGUUAUUGUAGUUAUUAUUAUAAAUGCAUGAAAUCAGUGGAAAGCUGGUAAACAUAGGAAUCCAAUGUAAAUCA
Doryrhamphus excisus (bluestripe pipefish) is the source of this 3044-nucleotide non-coding RNA. Lineage: Eukaryota; Metazoa; Chordata; Actinopteri; Syngnathiformes; Syngnathidae. The record is from RefSeq and is a predicted model, not a curated record.